GUCAAGUCGAAACCCAUCCGUUCCCAACCUUAUCCUCAUUCCUCCUCAUCCAGUCAUCCCCAACCUCUCGCAUCGGCUUCUUCGUGCAGUGCGGCCACAGCGUCAUCAGGCAGCGGCGCCGCCACCGUAGACGGCGGGGUCUACCGUUGCGGGCGGCCGUAUUUGGCCGUUCAGCCAACACCGCGAGAAAACAGUCGAUGCCGGUUAGGCCUUGACCUCGCUGGUGGCAACGGCACCACGACAAGGUACAACCGUUGUCAAAGAGGAUCCGAGCUCGGCGGCGGCGACACGGCGGCGGCGAUGGCGGUGGCGGCGUCAACGUCACAAGGAGAUACGCCUAGCGACGGUUAGGGCCCUGAGCUUGCCGGCGGCGGUGGCACUGCGAGGGAGCGGACUAAAACUUGAGGCGCCGUUGAUGGAGAUGGCCCUGCGCUCGCCGACGAAGUCAAAAGCUCAACAGUGAAUGGAGUGGGACCGGGACGAGGACGUGGGCGGAGAUGGUUGGCCUUAGAGGGAUGGUUGAAGCUAGCCUUGGUUUGGUUGAGCGGGGUUAGCGUGGUGGCGGGGUAAGCAAUAGGGAUAGAGGGGAGCAGCGUGGCAAGGCUGCGGGAGGAGAAAAUAACUCACCUAGUUGCUGGGCCAAGCUUGCCGGAGGGAAGGCAGAUAUGGGGCUCACUUGCGUCGAGUUUGUUGGCAUUUUGUCACAGAUGAGAAAUUAAGAAGUUGGUGAAGAGAGAGGAAGGCCGCUAAUAUGGGGGCGGUGGAAGAGGCUUGGCGGGGGUGCUCCUCGCAUCGGAUACAUCACCGUCUCGAUUAAGUCGCAACUGGAGGACAACGGGAAGAGGAUAAUGUGGAUCGGGUGCAAGCUAAUUGGUUUGCUCGGAUUAGCUCGUGUACUAUAUCAUAGGUGCCACAAGAGAAAUCUUCCCUGCACACGUCAAACAAGCUAUGUGGCCAUUAUAAUAGUAAUUAAAGUGCUACCAUGUUUCAUAAUUGGUGCUUAAAUUGUCUAUAAUGCUUAGAUGGCUAAAUAAGAAAAGGCUACCAUACGAAUGUGUAUAGUCGCUAAUGCUUAAAUGGCUAGAUGAGAAAAGGCUCCUUUGUGUUUUUCGAUUAGCAUCAGUGAUAACGUGGUUUAUAUUUUGGGAGUAGCUAUACAACAUUCAGACAGCUUUUUGGAUGAAAAACUUUCAGAUGUAACAUUGUAGUGUAGUUACAUUGUAACUACUAUGCAACUGUGAUAUAAUUGAUAGUAACUUGGGUGUAACAGUCAAAAAAAAAAAAGUGCGAUGGAUCAA
Molecule: long non-coding RNA, 1298 nt
Organism: Oryza sativa Japonica Group (Japanese rice)
Lineage: Eukaryota; Viridiplantae; Streptophyta; Magnoliopsida; Poales; Poaceae
Source: RefSeq, a predicted model, not a curated record